This 383-nucleotide ribosomal RNA is filed under the name Allomuricauda sp. RNAcentral describes it as "bacterial SSU rRNA". It matches the Rfam family "Bacterial small subunit ribosomal RNA", at positions 1 to 376 of the family's 1533-position model. The record is from RNAcentral. Lineage: Bacteria; Pseudomonadati; Bacteroidota; Flavobacteriia; Flavobacteriales; Flavobacteriaceae.
CACGAUGAAGAGUUUGAUCCUGGCUCAGGAUGAACGCUAGCGGCAGGCCUAACACAUGCAAGUCGAGGGGUAACAGGGAGAAGCUUGCUUUUCCGCUGACGACCGGCGCACGGGUGCGGAACGCGUAUGGAACCUGCCCCUGUCAGGGGAAUAGCCCGGGGAAACCCGGAUUAAUGCCCCAUGGCAUCCCGUCACCGCAUGGUGUCGGGAUUAAAGAUUUAUCGGACAGGGAUGGCCAUGCGUACCAUUAGCUUGUUGGUGGGGUAACGGCCCACCAAGGCAACGAUGGUUAGGGGCCCUGAGAGGGGGAUCCCCCACACUGGUACUGAGACACGGACCAGACUCCUACGGGAGGCAGCAGUGAGGAAUAUUGGACAAUGGCC